RNAcentral lists this ribosomal RNA (724 nucleotides) under uncultured bacterium. RNAcentral's name for it is "bacterial SSU rRNA". It matches the Rfam family "Bacterial small subunit ribosomal RNA", at positions 63 to 772 of the family's 1533-position model. The record is from RNAcentral.
CGAGGGGCAGCGGGGGUGCAGGCUUGCCUGCGCCUGCCGGCGACCGGCGCACGGGUGAGUAACACGUAUGGAACCUGCCCGCCACAGGGGGAUAACCCGGGGAAACCCGGCCUAAUACCCCAUGCCGUCCGGACCGGGCAUCCGGUCCGGGCGAAAGGAGGAAUCCGGUGGCGGCUGGGCAUGCGGCGCAUUAGCUUGACGGCGGGGUAACGGCCCACCGUGGCGACGAUGCGUAGGGGUUCUGAGAGGAAGGCCCCCCACACUGGAACUGAGACACGGUCCAGACUCCUACGGGAGGCAGCAGUGAGGAAUAUUGGUCAAUGGGCGGAAGCCUGAACCAGCCAAGUCGCGUGAGGGAAUAAGGCCCUACGGGUCGUAAACCUCUUUUGCCGGGGAGCAAGGGCCGGGACGCGUCCCGGCCCGGAGAGUACCCGGAGAAAAAGCAUCGGCUAACUCCGUGCCAGCAGCCGCGGUAAUACGGAGGAUGCGAGCGUUAUCCGGAUUUAUUGGGUUUAAAGGGUGCGUAGGCGGGCUUUUAAGUCAGCGGUAAAAAUUCGGGGCUCAACCCCGUCCGGCCGUUGAAACUGGGGGCCUUGAGUGGGCGAGAAGAAGGCGGAAUGCGUGGUGUAGCGGUGAAAUGCAUAGAUAUCACGCAGAACCCCGAUUGCGAAGGCAGCCUUCCGGCGCCCUACUGACGCUGAGGCACGAAAGUGCGGGGAUCGAA